GGUAUAAUAGAAAAAAUUGGAUAAAAAUUUGAUUAGUAAAGGAAAGUGAACAUUUAACGUGAAACUACCAAAAAUACAAGCAAAAAUUUUCACUGUUUAAUCUUUAUUGCUAGAAGAUGUAUCAAAAAAAGAAGAGGGUAAUCCACACCUCAUCUUUAAUCAGAUUUUAAACAACAAAGAAGCUUUAAUCCACUAACUAAUGAUGUGAACAAAAAUUAUCCUACAUAUAAAAGUCAUCAUCCAGUUUAGCUGAAUUUUAGCCGACGAAAUCAAACAAAAACACCAGAAGCAAGGAGCAAGAACAAGGAUCCAAAACCCUGCACCAAGGAUAUCAGAUUCAGCACUGAAAUCGGAUAUCAGCAAAUAUUUAAUAUGCGUUAAAUUAGGGCAUAAAGAACUGCUAACAUACCAAGAAGACUGACGCGGCUACUCCUGUUGUGAACUCCUUAGCUAGACUGCUUCAUAUCUACAAAAAAUAUUUACUGCUAUAAACAAGUAUGACUUGUAAAGGGAAACUAGAUCCAAGAGUAGUGCAAAAGUUGGUGUCAAAAUAAUUCACUUUUAUAUUUGUAAAGUGUAAUAGCAAAUAUAUUUUUUCAUUUAUAAGUAAAAUAAUAAAUUCAAAUUAUAAUUAUAUUUAUUAUAAAGCUAAUUAUUACUUGAAUUUGAAGCUUGCGAGUAGUUUGAAUAAAUAUUCAAGUUGAGUCGAGUCGAAUCUGAAUAGAAUUUUUCAAAUAUAAUUCGAAAUUCGAGUAUGAAUUUAAAGUUUCGAGUCGAAUUCGAAUAGUUCUCAGUUCGCUUCGGUUUGACUCGUUUACACCUUAUAUCUAACUCUUCCUCAAACUCCAGAACCAGUUGUCCUACAUCAGCUUUUUACCCAAGUAAAUAUUUUAAUUUCAUGAAACAAUUUAGAUUAAUACAGGCAAACAACAAGACAUUUCCAUUUUUUCCCUAGUUCAUUUUUAAAUUGUUAAAGGGUAUUAAUUGCAUCGCAUCCAUGUAAUUCACUUUAAUUGAGCAAGCAUACUAGUGUGAGCAGAAGCCAAGUAUCUUGUGGUCAAUUAUAUUGACUCAUACUCAUCAUUUACUGAAUAAUUUUGUUGCAUCAUGAAGCUAUUUCACUAAAAAAAAUUAAACCACAUUAGUAACCCCACUGCCCUGUUAAUCAGCUCAGUCUCAAGCUGGAUAGCUGUAGAAUUCUACCUUUUAUACCAAUAAAAUAAUUCAUUUCAAAUAACUAGGGGGAGCUGCACAGAAGUAAUCUCAAGUACAAUAAGCAUAAAAGUUAAACAGCUUGUUCACACCUAUUAUCUUAGGAUCAUUAAACAGCUUGGUCGUGCUCGUUCAAAUGACCUUGUCAGAUGAGCUUAUACCUCUGUACAAGGAAGGUUUUAUGAAUAUGCAGCAAUAUUACCAAAGAGUGAUGAAUAAGUGCAAUGAUUGAAGCUUUCAAUUUUCAAAAAGGUAGAGAAGUUGGGUGGGAAUAGAUAGUAUUAAAUUAAUAGUCGUAAAAAGCAUACAAAAAAAGUUAGAAAUAUGUAAUUUAUAACUUUUCACAUCCAACAUCUGACGGAUCAUCGAAAAUCACUUAAUAUACGGCUAGUCGGUUACAGUUAAAUGCAUACUUUACAAACAAAAUCUUUUACUAAACAUGGUUGUGAGUUAAGAUGUCUAGACACACAAUCAAGAUUACACCACUGUUUAUUUAUAUUUAAGCUUCAACAAGAGGUAGAAAAUCACUUCAGGUGGUUAAGGCAAUAUCAGAGUAAAUUAAUUGCUACACUAGUUAGGGUAAUAUGAAUCUAGUAUAAAACACUGAAGAAUAAGAACAUGCGAGAUUUUGAGCAUGUAGCCAAACAUUUUACAUAAAAUGUGAUCCUAAAUGUUACAUUUGAUCAACAAAAUGAACUAUACAACGAGUCAGAUUCCAACAUUUUGGACAGACAGAUAGAAAGGAAAAACGUUCCUCGAAAAAUCUCAAGAGUUAACUUGGAAGUACAAUCCAUGAUUUAGAAACCAUAUGGUCCAUUAGUCCAUAACACCUGCUUAUAAACCAAUUAGUCUUGCCAGUUACCUCCAAAUUUAUGUGUACUUCUUCUCAAUGUCAGAUGCAGUGAAAAACAUUCAAAUAAAACUGCAUUAAGAAAUAAUGGCUAAUUGACUUGUAAAGGGAAUUGGGGCUACAAAUGCCACAAAUCCAGAGCAGGGGAUUGAAAUGAAAUUCACCUCUUUAGUUAGUAUUUUAAAACAAAAGAAUAAAUCAAUUUUCAUUCGACAACAAUUAUAUACGCUUUCAGAGAAAUACUAUGGAAAACAACUCUACUUCCAGAAAGACCUGAAAAUUAUUUUAUAAACCAUUUUCUACACAAAACAAGAAACAAUAGGUCUUGCUUGGCUACUAAGAUCUCUAUUUUUCAUUUAAGCAUAUACAAAUUUUGUAUUUUUUGCCUUCCCAACUGAACUAUUUCACGAAAUAUCUUUUUGAAAAUGGUAACUGAGCUCAUUCUCUUCAAAAAGUUGUUAAAUUGUUCACAAUCUUAAUUACAUUUUUCCUAAGCAAAUCAAUACACAUCCAACUGAAUAACAACAAUGUACAAAAAGAUUACAAGUGCAACAUGAUUACUUCAGUAAAUGGAAAUUGUAAAACAAUAUAAAAAAAAAAAUCAGAACAACAUGCAAUAAUUGCCAAUUUUACAAUUGCAAUUGUCCAGAAUUGUUUAGCCAAACUUGAAGGAAAAAAGUCAGGAUCAGGGUCAGCUCACUCACAUAAAGAAGGAAGCGGUGACAAUAAGACCGAUCGCGAGCAUGAAAACAGCUAGGGUCGGGUACCAAGCGUCUGGGACAGGACUCGAGAUUGGUUUCACUGUCUGAGCCUUCAAAAAAUCGAAAAUAUAAAAAUAAAAAACAAUUGUGAAUCAGAAUCAGAAAGGAAGAUCACAUUUCAAAUCGGAAUAGAGAGUAAUUGAGAUAAAACCCUAAAAAUUUCGUAUUUACCAUUUUAGACUGACAGAUAGAUCUCCCUUCGCUCUCGGAACUCUCCGUAAUCUGAAGACUGGACUGACUCCUGUUGAGAAAAAUACUCAUUUUAUAAGUUGCUCAAAACAACUUAUAAGUAAGUUGUUAGUGUUUG
This 3130-nucleotide long non-coding RNA is filed under the name Panax ginseng (ginseng). RNAcentral's name for it is "long non-coding RNA (PGIN_LNC009285)". The record is from RNAcentral. Lineage: Eukaryota; Viridiplantae; Streptophyta; Magnoliopsida; Apiales; Araliaceae.